CGGCGGACGGGUGAGUAACGCGUGGGUAACCUGCCUCAUACAGGGGGAUAACAGUUGGAAACGGCUGCUAAUACCGCAUAAGCGCACAGUACCGCAUGGUACGGUGUGAAAAACUCCGGUGGUAUGAGAUGGACCCGCGUCUGAUUAGGUAGUUGGUGGGGUAACGGCCUACCAAGCCGACGAUCAGUAGCCGAUCUGAGAGGGUGACCGGCCACAUUGGGACUGAGACACGGCCCAA
Molecule: ribosomal RNA, 238 nt
Filed under: uncultured bacterium
Lineage: Bacteria
Description: partial 16S ribosomal RNA
Rfam family: Bacterial small subunit ribosomal RNA
Source: RNAcentral